Molecule: ribosomal RNA, 728 nt
Filed under: uncultured bacterium
Lineage: Bacteria
Description: bacterial SSU rRNA
Rfam family: Bacterial small subunit ribosomal RNA
Source: RNAcentral
AAACUGAACUCUUCGGAGUGACGUUUAGUGGAUCGAGCGGCGGAUGGGUGAGUAACACGUGGGCAACCUGCCUAUAAGACUGGGAUAACUUACGGAAACGUGAGCUAAUACCGGAUGAAACCUUUUGUUACCUGACAAGAGGGUGAAAGAUGGCUCCGGCUAUCACUUAUAGAUGGGCCCGCGGCGCAUUAGCUAGUUGGUGAGAUAAAAGCUCACCAAGGCAACGAUGCGUAGCCGACCUGAGAGGGUGAUCGGCCACACUGGGACUGAGACACGGCCCAGACUCCUACGGGAGGCAGCAGUAGGGAAUCUUCCGCAAUGGACGAAAGUCUGACGGAGCAACGCCGCGUGAACGAAGAAGGUUCUCGGAUCGUAAAGUUCUGUUGUUAGGGAAGAACACGUACCAUUCGAAUAGGGUGGUACCUUGACGGUACCUAACGAGAAAGCCCCGGCUAACUACGUGCCAGCAGCCGCGGUAAUACGUAGGGGGCAAGCGUUGUCCGGAAUUAUUGGGCGUAAAGCGCGCGCAGGCGGUUCUUUAAGUCUGAUGUGAAAUCUUGCGGCUCAACCGCAAGCGGUCAUUGGAAACUGGAGAACUUGAGGACAGAAGACGAGAGUGGAAUUCCACGUGUAGCGGUGAAAUGCGUACAUAUGUGGAGGAACACCAGUGGCGAAGGCGACUCUCUGGUCUGUAACUGACGCUGACGUGCGAAAGCGUGUGUAGCGAA